RNAcentral lists this ribosomal RNA (925 nucleotides) under uncultured Bacillus sp. Its description in RNAcentral is "bacterial SSU rRNA". It matches the Rfam family "Bacterial small subunit ribosomal RNA", at positions 8 to 916 of the family's 1533-position model. The record is from RNAcentral. Lineage: Bacteria; Bacillati; Bacillota; Bacilli; Caryophanales; Bacillaceae.
AGAGUUUGAUCCUGGCUCAGGAUGAACGCUGGCGGCGUGCCUAAUACAUGCAAGUCGAGCGAAUGACGAGGAGCUUGCUCCUCUGAUUUAGCGGCGGACGGGUGAGUAACACGUGGGUAAUCUGCCUGUAAGACGGGGAUAACUCCGGGAAACCGGGGCUAAUACCGGAUAAUAAGAAGAAACGCAUGUUUCUUUUUUGAAAGUCGGCAUCUCGCUGACACUUACAGAUGAGCCCGCGGCGCAUUAGCUAGUUGGUGAGGUAACGGCUCACCAAGGCGACGAUGCGUAGCCGACCUGAGAGGGUGAUCGGCCACACUGGGACUGAGACACGGCCCAGACUCCUACGGGAGGCAGCAGUAGGGAAUCUUCGGCAAUGGGCGAAAGCCUGACCGAGCAACGCCGCGUGAGCGAUGAAGGCCUUCGGGUCGUAAAGCUCUGUUGUUAGAGAAGAACAAGUACGAGAGUAACUGCUCGUACCUUGACGGUACCUAACCAGAAAGCCACGGCUAACUACGUGCCAGCAGCCGCGGUAAUACGUAGGUGGCAAGCGUUAUCCGGAAUUAUUGGGCGUAAAGCGCGCGCAGGCGGUCUCUUAAGUCUGAUGUGAAAGCCCACGGCUCAACCGUGGAGGGUCAUUGGAAACUGGGAGACUUGAGUGCAGGAGAGAAAAGUGGAAUUCCACGUGUAGCGGUGAAAUGCGUAGAGAUGUGGAGGAACACCAGUGGCGAAGGCGGCUUUUUGGCCUGUAACUGACGCUGAGGCGCGAAAGCGUGGGGAGCAAACAGGAUUAGAUACCCUGGUAGUCCACGCCGUAAACGAUGAGUGCUAGGUGUUGGGGGGUUCCACCCUCAGUGCUGAAGUUAACACAUUAAGCACUCCGCCUGGGGAGUACGACCGCAAGGUUGAAACUCAAAGGAAUUGACGG